UUGCUAGCUUGCUAAUAAUUCUCUAGUGGCGCACGGGUGAGUAACACGUGAGUAACCUGCCCCCGAGAGCGGGAUAGCCCUGGGAAACUGGGAUUAAUACCGCAUAGUAUCGAAAGAUUAAAGCAGCAAUGCGCUUGGGGAUGGGCUCGCGGCCUAUUAGUUAGUUGGUGAGGUAACGGCUCACCAAGGCGAUGACGGGUAGCCGGUCUGAGAGGAUGUCCGGCCACACUGGAACUGAGACACGGUCCAGACACCUACGGGUGGCAGCAGUCGAGAAUCAUUCACAAUGGGGGAAACCCUGAUGGUGCGACGCCGCGUGGGGGAAUGAAGGUCUUCGGAUUGUAAGCCCCCGUCAUGUGGGAGCAAAUUAAAAAGAUAGUACCACAAGAGGAAGAGACGGCUAACUCUGUGCCAGCAGCCGCGGUAAUACAGAGGUCUCAAGCGUUGUUCGGAAUCACUGGGCGUAAAGCGUGCGUAGGCUGUUUCGUAAGUCGUGUGUGAAAGGCGCGGGCUCAACCCGCGGACGGCACAUGAUACUGCGAGACUAGAGUAAUGGAGGGGGAACCGGAAUUCUCGGUGUAGCAGUGAAAUGCGUAGAUAUCGAGAGGAACACUCGUGGCGAAGGCGGGUUCCUGGACAUUAACUGACGCUGAGGCACGAAGGCCAGGGGAGCGAAAGGGAUUAGAUACCCCUGUAGUCCUGGCAGUAAACGGUGCACGCUUGGUGUGCGGGGAAUCGACCCCCUGCGUGCCGGAGCUAACGCGUUAAGCGUGCCGCCUGGGGAGUACGGUCGCAAGAUUAAAACUCAAAGAAAUUGACGGGGACCCGCACAAGCGGUGGAGUAUGUGGCUUAAUUCGAUGNCACGCGAAGAACCUUACCUGGGCUUG
Molecule: ribosomal RNA, 888 nt
Filed under: uncultured bacterium
Lineage: Bacteria
Description: bacterial SSU rRNA
Rfam family: Bacterial small subunit ribosomal RNA
Source: RNAcentral